GAUACAUCCAAAUUUUAACAAACUUGAGACAUCUUUUGUUGGACGGACGGGGGGAGUACAAUAUAUAGUACUUAUUUUUUUUUAUGAAACAAAGGGAAGGGUGAUUGGCGGAGCUCGGCCGCGGAGGAACUUGGUGAAAAAUUGCGACAACCCUUUUUUACUACGGAAGAGAUUUUUUCUCUCUCUUUUGUCCUACUUUCAUUAUCUUCAUCUUCCUUGCUUUCCUGCACUUUUUGAUUUUUUGUUUUUUGAACUUUAAUUUUCCUAAACUUUUGGAUUUUCUAAAACUUUUUCUACCUUUUCUUUUCUCCAUUUUUAAUUUCUCUUACUUUUGCUUUUAAUUUCCUCAAAUUCUGAAAGAUUAUUUUUACCCAACAAUGGCAUAGAAGGUUAAAUCUCACUUGACAUAUCAGAACCGUUGGAUUAAUAUUUGAGCGUCACCACACUCCCCUCAUUUCAGCAUUCGUUCGGAAAUUUAAAGCAAAAACCAUAUUCAAUGGCUGAGAAAUCAACUUAUCUCUAACUAAAAUCAAGGCACUUAGAUAUUGCAAAAUGGAUUUCUUUUUGUAUCCAAGCAAAAUACAGCACUACUCUAGCCUCCUUUUUUUAUUAUCAUGGCCGUCCAUGAUAUAUAUUAUUGUAAAAUUACCACAUAACACCAAAUUUCUUUUUUCUUGAGAAGUCAAAUUGCGAUUCUAUUUCAUAAGUUGCAUUAACGAACCCGCCGUCGGGAGGAGGACGUGGAGGAGAGCCCCGAUUCCCAUCACCGCGCCGUAACCCCCAGUCCAACGACCGUCGAGGAGGACAAGGAUGCCGCCUACAACGCGGUGGCCGCUGAGUCGAUCAAGACGGUAGAUGAAGAGGAGUAGCGCCACCGACCUCGCCCGCGCCUUCUACCGGUUAGAGAAAGACCGAGAGAUACUCUUCGUCUCUUCCGAUUCCGACUAGGCCGCCUCUAAGUAAUAUUUGGUUUUAUGUAUAAACUUAAUCAGAUGAACUUGGUCCCGUGUUAUUCGAUGGUGUCUUUAAUAUAGUUAUUUAUGUAGUUUUUAUGUAUGAACUUGUGGUGCUUGAGACGAGAUUGGACGCGCGAUUUACUUUCAAAUAGUUGAAAUGCCUG
RNAcentral lists this long non-coding RNA (1120 nucleotides) under Brachypodium distachyon (stiff brome). Its description in RNAcentral is "long non-coding RNA (BDIS_LNC001547)". The record is from RNAcentral. Lineage: Eukaryota; Viridiplantae; Streptophyta; Magnoliopsida; Poales; Poaceae.